GCAGGGCCKGGCCGCGCUUCUGUGCGAGCGGCUACCGCGGGACUGGACAGCCGGUGAGGGGCGGAGGCACCGGAACACCGCCCCGGGGGUAGGCGGAGGCUGAGCGCUCUCCCUGUCCGGCGCUCUGAGCCGAYGCUGUGAAGAACAAGCCCCGCGGGGCCGUGCGACCGAGGCCCGCCGCAGUGCCCGACGAGCGCUGGGCCCAGUGCAGUGUCCCCGGUGUGGCGUCCCCGGGGCCGGGCCCGGGAGCGGGGGGCGGGACCCGGGAGCGGGGCCUGGCUGCGGACUCGCCCCGCAGCGCCGCCUGCUCCCAUCACGUGAGCGCGCUCAGCACGUGCCGGGAUUCCCCGCCCGCCCUGCCACACGUGACUGGCCCCGAGGAGCUGCCAUCACGAGAAGGGCGCCGCCAUCUUGAGAAGGUCGGCGGCGGGAGCCCUCCUCAUGCGAUCCCACCCUGGAUCCCCAUCGUGAGACCCGAUCCUGAACUCUGAUCGUGAGACCCCAUCUUGAACUCUGAUCGUGAGACCCCAUCCUGAACUCUGAUCGUGAGACCCCAUCGUGAGACCCCAUCCUGAACUCUGAUCGUGAGACCCCAUCGUGAGACCCCAUCCUGAACUCUGAUCGUGAGACCCCAUCGCGAAGCCCCAUCCUGGCACCUCCAUCCCAAGACCCCCAUCCUGACACCUCCGCCCGCUGCCCCGAUACAAGAGGGAAGCUGACGAGACUCAGUGGUUCCACCCAGCUGAUGUGGGCUCGGGCACUGCUGAUGAAUCUCUCCCAGGAAAGAUAAAUUAUGGGGAAUAYAAUUAUGUAUGAAUGUAACAUCCCUGUCUGGCCUGGAAUUGGAUUUUAAUUAGAUUUUCUGCUAUGCUUAUCAUUCCRUGAUGUCAGUGCUUGUCCACACUACAAGCUGCCCCUAUUGUCAACAGGAUGCUGGGGAAGGGGCCUGAAAGGGAGGGAUAGGAAUGAUGCUGGGAAAACUACAUCUCUCUGCCCUGCUUAUUUGUCUGUGAAGGAAGGGUCUAUCCAAGCUGYUACAUCCAAUUUGGAUGUCAGAAGGCAUGUGUGGCACUCAAAACUGCCUGUGGCCAAAACAGGUCCCUUCCCCAGGAACACACAAGCUGACAUGGCUGUGACAGUAACUUCAGCUGGCAGUGGAAGAGAUGCUGAAGUAAAGGCAAAUAYUGACUGCACAGAUAGGAACAACCACCUUAAAUAUCCCACCCCAGGCCCACCCAGAGCAGUGACAGAGCUUCACUUGACAACCCUCCAGCCACACAGCUUCAAGGCUUCCUCAGGCUGCCAGUCCCAAGCCUGAAUCAGAGUGCUGAGACCGCCURGUUUUCUGCACUGCUGGGAGAACAGAACAGCCCGUGCCAAGCAAUGAGAAUCUGUUCCUCGAGGCUAUAGGUUYGCUGCCUGGCAGCAAGAGCAGUUGGACCUGCGCACUUAGGAGAAGUCAGGGAGCACRUGGAGCAGCUGUGGGAGCAGGACUAAGGCUGAUACUGCUGCUGCAUGAAGGUUACYAUGCUUCUCUGUAAACCAGACCUCCCUGGGAAAGCCAAUCCCUGAGCAAUCACAGAUAAAACCGUGAUACUUAAAAACGAUUCUCCAAACAGCAGUGAAAGCAAAUUGCAGCCUUUGGGGAAAAAAAAAAAACCCAAAAAACCAGUGUGAAAGGGUUAAUACAGAACAAGGUCAGGAGGCUCUGURAAGGCAUUGUCUGUGCUGGCAGCUCUGGCAACAGGUCCUGAAGCUCCCYAAGCCUGCAGAGCCGGCUGAUGGCCGGGUCCCUGUGCUGCUGCUGCUGCUGCAGAGGCCCCGUUCUCUCUGCAGGGCUGACUCACUGCAGCGCUCCUGGCCACGCACGGAGCACCACAGCACCGCGGCUGCGCUGGCACAGCCACCCCCUUCCCYGCUUCCAAACCGACCAUCGAGUCAAUCCCUGCCAGCUGGGACUGCGCUCUGAGCUGCCAUGCUCCUGGCACUGAAGGAAUUUAAAAAACCRCAAAGGUCCCUACUUUUCCUUAUGCCCCGAAUCACUUGAGAAAUGUGCUGAUGCAAGAGCACCAAUGAAGGACUUGAAAAGCGAGUUUUCACCCAGGAGUCAUCACAGAGGAUUCAGAGCAUCACUGUCACGGCUGAGGCAGCAUGUGCAGACUGUUAAUUUGACUCYGGGUGUAUUGCAGGUACUUGGCACAAAGCGAUCCUCCCCCAGUCUGUGGUCACUCCAGCUCUGUUCUUCUUGCAUGGGUUUAUAUAUUAAUGACAAAGGCUUCAUGAUCCAAGGCAUGAAUCAAAAUGCCAUUGAAGGGAUUUUGCCUGCACUGAUUUUCUAAGUACUUAUUGUCUCUGCACGAUGUCACCAACCUGUAAGGGAUCUUAGGGUGCCUGAAAUGUGGGGCCUUUCAAUUGCUUACUGCAYGUGGAGAUGAGAGCAUUUAGCUGCUCUCUUAAACACAAUUUGCUCACGUUCUUGUUAACUGGCAAAAAGACAGGCAGCAGGGUCCCCUUACAGAAGGUAAGACUGGGUAUUAAGCAUAUUUGCAACCCCAGCCAGGACCCUCUCCUAGCCUGCCACACAAGCCAAAUGCAAUUCCUCUCACCAGAACCGCAAGCUGGACGCAGCAUCCUCUCCAGAGCCUGGAUUCAGGAUUCACCCCACAGCUGCAAGCCUGUCACACAGCACCAGGAAGGCCCCUUCUACAGUCACUAUGAGAGACGAUUAAUCCACAGAUUCCAUAAACCUUUAUGGACCCCGGGGAAAGCCUACUUCAGAGGUUUAGUCUACUACUUUUGUGCAUGAAUGACCAACACCAUUGUGAUCAGGAAUUUCCCUUUCCCCCAGGCACUGCUUCAGCAGGCAUCCAGUACUUUCCUUCAGUCAGCUUACACCUCUGUAUGGCCCCACCACCAUCUCUGCUCAUAUUUCCACAAGGUAAAGCCCUUCCCAAGCAAAACCAGCCCAGUCCAGCCCAGCACCAGGCAGUUGAGAAGCAACUGCAGAGAAAUCAGUGUUUUAGCAGAGAUUUUAGCAAAGAGCAAAAAAAAAAAAAAAAAGCCAAUUACCUUCUUUAAUGAUUAUUGUUAUAACUACACCCUGACAGAAUGACUGGCUCAUAGCCAGAGUCUCCUGAACACCCAGAAGGUGCACACAGUAACACCAGGCCUGGGCAAUGCCCGUGCCAGGUUAGAAGCUCCAGACAGCUUCACUGAAUUCCUUAUGCUCUGGCCACAGCUCUUCAUAGAACUUGCACCAGAUUCACAGGAUCGGUACCUGAGUCAAACACACAUCUUCAUUCCCAAACAGGUGACAGAUCCCUCCACCUGCACCAGUUUCGUUUGAUUUCAAAGGCACUGCUAGCACAGGUAUCUGUGUAAUAACAUUUUGGCUUGAACAAGGCAAAGCCUGACCUGUUCUCCAAGGUACAGACUGAGGAUUAAGGUGAUGUACUUCCCAAUGCUAACUGGGACCAAGCUUUACCACUGAAAGGGUUCAACACGCAUUUUCCACAUAAGCUCUCAAAUCCUCAGGACAAAGGAAGCUGCUCCCGCACUCAAUAACUGCAGCAGCAGAAUCUCCCAGCUCAAAAUGUCCUGAUUUAAAAAUUAAAAAUACAAGUUCUUGACUGAAGCCAUUYUGUUGAUGAGACUAUUGUUGAGGUACUUCAGAGGCAAUUACUUUUCACAGUACAGCUUCUAAGGAACUCAGCCUCUGCAGGGCCAGCACRAGGACAGGCUGCCCUGUUUCCUGACAAGGCAGUUCCUCUCCUGGUCACAGGCUGAAGCCUGUACCCUACCUCCCUUGGUUACAGGGCACCACCCUAAGCCAGAUGUACUGAUCAGGGUGAGCAUAGCCAUGCAUUCCCGCUCACCAUGAAUACAGCCCAUGGCAGCAGCUGCAAACCACAUUGCCACUGCUCUGGAGAAAGUUUGUGGCAGAGGUGGCAGCAUUACUCCUGCAAUGCUGCCCAGUCACUUCAGGAACYUGCCUCCCCUGAGGUACCCUGCCCUCUUCCCAAAGGAGCAGCAACAGCUGGAAAUGAGAGCCAGGGACUCAUUACAGCAAUGUAGUGAGGAAGUUUUAUUUGGAAACAUGGUAGAAGUUUGUAACCCAACACUGGGUGCACGACUGAUGCCGGAGCAUACGCGGUUACUAAUGAAACACAGGAGUGUUUCGGACAAUUGCUGUAAUAAAACACAAAAUUCUCAUACUCCAAUACCAGGACACUACAGCAAUCUUUAGAAUCAAAGUUACAUCCAAGGAAUUCUUUGCACUUACAACUGACCCCACAGUGUAAUCUACCUAUAUAUAAGAUUAAUAUAUAUAGCAUGGGAAAUUGAAAAUCCUUGCUCCAUAGAUGUAUGAACAUGUCAAGUCUUUUAUAAAUAAACAUCCAGUGAAGAGAAAAAAUUACA
Long non-coding RNA from Malurus melanocephalus (red-backed fairy wren), 4419 nucleotides. RefSeq lists it as uncharacterized. Lineage: Eukaryota; Metazoa; Chordata; Aves; Passeriformes; Maluridae. The transcript is spliced from 3 exons. The record is from RefSeq and is a predicted model, not a curated record.